RNAcentral lists this ribosomal RNA (845 nucleotides) under Citrobacter freundii. Its description in RNAcentral is "partial 23S ribosomal RNA". It matches the Rfam family "Bacterial large subunit ribosomal RNA", at positions 1 to 888 of the family's 2925-position model. The record is from RNAcentral. Lineage: Bacteria; Pseudomonadati; Pseudomonadota; Gammaproteobacteria; Enterobacterales; Enterobacteriaceae.
GGUUAAGCGACUAAGCGUACACGGUGGAUGCCCUGGCAGUCAGAGGCGAUGAAGGACGUGCUAAUCUGCGAUAAGCGUCGGUAAGGUGAUAUGAACCGUUAUAACCGGCGAUUUCCGAAUGGGGAAACCCAGUGUGAUUCGUCACACUAUCAUUACGUGAAUACAUAGCGUAAUGAAGCGAACCGGGGGAACUGAAACAUCUAAGUACCCCGAGGAAAAGAAAUCAACCGAGAUUCCCCCAGUAGCGGCGAGCGAACGGGGAGCAGCCCAGAGUCUGAAUCAGCUUGUGUGUUAGUGGAACGGUCUGGAAAGUCCGACGGUACAGGGUGAUAGUCCCGUACACCAAAAUGCACAGGUUGUGAACUCGAAGAGUAGGGCGGGACACGUGGUAUCCUGUCUGAAUAUGGGGGGACCAUCCUCCAAGGCUAAAUACUCCUGACUGACCGAUAGUGAACCAGUACCGUGAGGGAAAGGCGAAAAGAACCCCGGCGAGGGGAGUGAAAAAGAACCUGAAACCGUGUACGUACAAGCAGUGGGAGCAUCCUUUUGGGUGUGACUGCGUACCUUUUGUAUAAUGGGUCAGCGACUUAUAUUCUGUAGCAAGGUUAACCGUAUAGGGGAGCCGAAGGGAAACCGAGUCUUAACUGGGCGUUAAGUUGCAGGGUAUAGACCCGAAACCCGGUGAUCUAGCCAUGGGCAGGUUGAAGGUUGGGUAACACUAACUGGAGGACCGAACCGACUAAUGUUGAAAAAUUAGCGGAUGACUUGUGGCUGGGGGUGAAAGGCCAAUCAAACCGGGAGAUAGCUGGUUCUCCCCGAAAGCUAUUUAGGUAGCGCCUCGUGAA